UCCUGGGUGGCUCAGUGGUUGAGCAUCUGCCUUUGGCUCAGGUCAUGAUCCCAGGGUCCUGGGAUCGAGUCCCAGAUCAGGCU
This 83-nucleotide transfer RNA is filed under the name Canis lupus familiaris (dog). It matches the Rfam family "tRNA". From Rfam's summary of the family: Transfer RNA (tRNA) molecules are approximately 80 nucleotides in length. Their secondary structure includes four short double-helical elements and three loops (D, anti-codon, and T loops). Lineage: Eukaryota; Metazoa; Chordata; Mammalia; Carnivora; Canidae. RNAcentral also lists the same sequence under 1 other name. The record is from Rfam by way of RNAcentral.